RNAcentral lists this ribosomal RNA (496 nucleotides) under uncultured bacterium. RNAcentral's name for it is "partial 16S ribosomal RNA". It matches the Rfam family "Bacterial small subunit ribosomal RNA", at positions 28 to 506 of the family's 1533-position model. The record is from RNAcentral.
GACGAACGCUGGCGGCGUGCCUAAUACAUGCAAGUAGAACGCUGAAGAGAGGAGCUUGCUCUUCUUGGAUGAGUUGCGAACGGGUGAGUAACGCGUAGGUAACCUGCCUGGUAGCGGGGGAUAACUAUUGGAAACGAUAGCUAAUACCGCAUAAAAUGGAUUAUCGCAUGAUAAUCCAUUGAAAGGUGCAAAUGCAUCACUACCAGAUGGACCUGCGUUGUAUUAGCUAGUUGGUGGGGUAACGGCUCACCAAGGCGACGAUACAUAGCCGACCUGUGAGGGUGAUCGGCCACACUGGGACUGAGACACGGCCCAGACUCCUACGGGAGGCAGCAGUAGGGAAUCUUCGGCAAUGGACGGAAGUCUGACCGAGCAACGCCGCGUGAGUGAAGAAGGUUUUCGGAUCGUAAAGCUCUGUUGUAAGAGAAGAACGAGUGUGAGAGUGGAAAGUUCACACUGUGACGGUAUCUUACCAGAAAGGGACGGCUAACUACGU